ACUGCAGGCUGCAACUCGCCUGCACGAAGUCGGAAUUGCUAGUAAUCGUAGGUCAGCAUACUACGGUGAAUACGUUCCCGGGCCUUGUACACACCGCCCGUCAAACCAUGAGAGUUGGCAACACCGAAGUCGGUAGUCUAACCGCAAGGAGGACGCCGCCGAAGGUGGGGUUGAUGAUUAGGGUUAAGUCGUAACAAGGUACC
Molecule: ribosomal RNA, 203 nt
Filed under: uncultured bacterium
Lineage: Bacteria
Description: partial 16S ribosomal RNA
Rfam family: Bacterial small subunit ribosomal RNA
Source: RNAcentral